GAUGAACGCUGGCGGCGUGCCUAAUACAUGCAAGUCGAGCGAACAGACGAGGAGCUUGCUCCUCUGACGUUAGCGGCGGACGGGUGAGUAACACGUGGAUAACCUACCUAUAAGACUGGGAUAACUUCGGGAAACCGGAGCUAAUACCGGAUAAUCUAUUGAACCGCAUGGUUCAAUAGUGAAAGACGGUUUUGCUGUCACUUAUAGAUGGAUCCCCGCCGCAUUAGCUAGUUGUUAAGGUAACGGCUUACCAAGGCGAGGAUGCGUAGCCGACCUGAGAGAGUGAUCGGCCACACUGGAACUGAGACACGGUCCUGACUCCUACGGGAGGCAGCAGUAGGGAAUCUUCCGCAAUGGGCGAAAGCCUGACGGAGCAACGCCGCGUGAGUGAUGAAGGUCUUCGGAUCGUAAAACUCUGUUAUUAGGGAAGAACAAAUGUGUAAGUAACUAUGCACGUCUUGACGGUACCUAAUCAGAAAGCCACGGCUAACUACGUG
This 497-nucleotide ribosomal RNA is filed under the name uncultured bacterium. RNAcentral's name for it is "partial 16S ribosomal RNA". It matches the Rfam family "Bacterial small subunit ribosomal RNA", at positions 28 to 507 of the family's 1533-position model. The record is from RNAcentral.